CGAGCAUGUCACGAUGAAACAGCGGUUCUCGUCCGGACACCGAAGUUAAGAAACGCCGAGCCUGAUCAGUACCUAAAUGGGUGACCGCUGUGGAAUACCAG
Molecule: non-coding RNA, 101 nt
Organism: Acanthosepion pharaonis
Lineage: Eukaryota; Metazoa; Mollusca; Cephalopoda; Sepiida; Sepiidae
Source: the annotation of a GenBank genome assembly